AUUCUGCCCAUGCUGGGAAGGAUGAGAAGCUUCGACUAAGGUUCGGCUCGAGCGUCAGCGAGAGAGCGUUGCCGCAGGCAACGACCCGAAGGGCGAAGCGCGCAGCGCUGAGUAAUCCUUCCCCCACCACCA
RNAcentral lists this small RNA (132 nucleotides) under Escherichia coli. Its description in RNAcentral is "RtT sRNA". It matches the Rfam family "RtT RNA". Rfam says of the family: This family represents a bacterial cis-regulatory element known as RtT RNA. The exact function of RtT is unknown although it is thought that it may be involved in changing the cellular response in relation to amino acid starvation. The record is from RNAcentral. Lineage: Bacteria; Pseudomonadati; Pseudomonadota; Gammaproteobacteria; Enterobacterales; Enterobacteriaceae.